GUUUCCCUCCUGCAGCAGAGCCAGCAGAAGAGAGUUUGUUCUGUUUGACGCUGCUAGGUUAUAGUUUGAUGCCUUAGCUCAAACUCAAGCCUAAAAAUCUUGUUACUGCACUGGCAAUUGUGCUGGAUUGGCUGGCGUACACACCUGUCUUUACACCUGCUGAGCCUGAACAGGGAAUGCAGCCUCAAGAAGAGCAGCUUGCUGGGGAGGAUGAGUUAAACUGCUGGAGCAAGAGUUGGUGGAACUCUUCUGAGAACCUUUACCUUCGUUAUUAGCAUGGCAGCUUUUCCAGUGAUCUGCAAUGAACAGCUCUGCUGUUGACACCAUCUGGAUCUUGAUCUUCUGUUUUAUCGGUUGUUGGUGUUUGCCUGGGACAGUCCAUCCUGUUAGCAGGCGGUGAUCCUGUUGCGGAGGAGAGAUGUGAGGUGUGCUGACUCAUGAAAGCAGGUGCUGGCUGCGUCAGCAGGAGGUCAAAGUCCACUGCGAGCGGUGGCCGAUACAAACCCCUGCGUAAGGCAGGCUGGUCUCCCUGUGCCUCAGCUCCUAACAGCAGGGCAGUUCUUGAGGAGUGCCUUGGAAGGUGUUUGUGUGGAUUUCUUGGUGGUCCUUGUGACGAUCUUAGGAAGCAGAAGGAGAUCCAGAACUGUUUGAAAGCCCAAAGCCAAGAUUCUUUGAAAUCCUAACCAAGUAAUGAUGAGAGACUGGGCUGAGGCCGACCUGCCUCCUGUGCUGCUUCUCAUAUAUGUCCAAGAAGCUGCCUCCAGUUUAUGUGAUUGCACUCCAGUAAACAAUUUUCAUGCAGCUAUGGGCAGCACGUGUUACUCAUGCCUGUGUGAACACUUCGGCGUGUUUACAGCAGGGGACGUUCCUCAGACAUAGUGCUGUUAAACAAUGGAUGUACCCACCAGAGGGAAGUCCCACUGGUUACAGCUUGCUCAGAACACUUUGAAGGGUGGUCACACCAUCCUUCUUCAGGCACUCGAGAGGAUUGACUUACAAAUAGGAGCAAAAUAAAAUUAGAUGGCUUAAGUGGCUGCAGCCCCAGCUGUGUCCUCGCUGCCCUGUUCCCAGAAGGGGUCACCCCUGCAGCAGGGCUGCCUGUAGACGCAACUCCUGAGUUGCUGUAGUUACAACCCAAUCUUGAGGGCAUUUAUACUCAUCUGGUUCCUCCAUGAAACAGUUCAGAAAGCCUAACCAGAAUAAAAAUGUACGCUUUUGCAUCUUAAUAGUUGUCUCUGGGUUUAAUUUCUCCAACAAGCCCAGAGAAGUAGCAGUGCUGCUGCGAGAGCAGCGGCAGACAGGCACAGGGAGGGAGGACCUUCCCUUUUGGGAGCAGCUCUCCGUUACGUCAGUUUUGCUGCCUCACAAAACUGUGCCCUAUAGUUAUUUUUGGUGCUGAGCUCCAUUAAUUUUCUGGAGAGUAAAUGAAGGAUCAACGUCGUGUGUUUAUGGAAUUUGGAAGUUAAGUUUUUAGGGAAAAAGAAUGUAAUUCAGCAUGUGCUGUUAUGUGGAAGUGCUUGAAUUGUUAGGGAUGGGGAAGAUAAGUGUCCGUGCUAUCCAUUUCUACAAUUCAGUUACGAGUUAAAUCCUCUUUUUUUUGUCUGCUUUUUAAGACCUCUAACCCGAAGUCUACUAUCCAGCUGUCUCUAGAGGCAGAAGUCUUUAAAGAGACCAGCUUUGUAGCUAUAAAUAAUGCACAUGGCAGAGUACAAAAAUGGAGUCAAGGAGAGGCUCCACCUUACCUGAACGCAGUUAUGAAUGUUGGCAUUGUGAGCUGCAGCCCUGGUCACACAGAAGGCUGCAAGGAGCACUGUGACCCCAUCAUCCAUCCUGACUAAACUACUUCUGCCUCCAAGACCCAAGCCUUCCUCCGUCAUUUGAACAUCAACUGGUAGAAUCAUGUCUGCGUUGGACUGAAACGCAUCAGGGGCCAAACAUGGCAAGGGUUCGAGUUGUAUGGUUAUAAACAUACUUGGAAUGAAACAUCUGCUUGGGCGCUCUGUUAGGUUGGAUGUGUCAGAAUAGGGAGAGUUCUGCAAGUCUGAACCCUUGCUAUAAAUGAAAACACUGUGGCAAAAAAAUGUAAAUGCAUGCCACACAUACUUUGUAUGAGAGCCCUUCCCAAUAUCUAUAAAUAUGGUAAUUUUGAUGUUUCCCAGCUUUAGGGUUUAAAAAGGAGACAGGCACAAGAAAUACCACAAAGCCAGCAUUUUUCUUUUCAUGGAUCAAUUGUAUGGUUUCAGUUUUAACUUACCUGAAAACACUGGAAAUUAAAUGUAGUGUCUUAAAGAGGAUUGCCUUUGAAAGGGAAUUAUUUGUUCUUGUAAAAUCGCUAGAAUAGUUUCUCUGUUUAACUGCAUUUUCAUAUGAAUUCAAAACUCCUCUCGGGUCAGGCUCUCCAGGAAAAUUUUCUCAUGGUUUCUGUGGCAGCUGAUUCACUCCUUCACUGCCUUAAUUUUGCAGCUUUAACUGGCAGGUUCUCUGAAAAGCCAUCUACUUCAAAGCUUUGUAAAAUAAAGCUUUGAAUAAAUUACUGAGUGAGAAAUUAUGCUGGCUGUGUCCCACUUUGUGCCUGGAUGUGGGAAUAUUUGGCAGUGGGUGUGGAAUUCCAAGGAAAAUUACCUCUUCCCUUUGCCUGAGACCCUGCCUGCUUGCCAAACUCAAAGAGCAGCAAGAAGGAAAACUACACGGAAGUCUCGGGUUUCCCUUUCCCACAGCUCCGGAGGACGCAACCUGAACAACUGUUGAAUAUUAAUAUGCCGUGUAACUGGUGCAGCGUUGUGCCAGAAGUGUGGCUUCCAAGGACUACAUCUCCCAGCGUGGCAGGGAGGAGACAGCAGCCCAGCACAGCAUGCUGGAACUCGUAGUGCUGGUAGAACAUCCUUGCAUAAGCGGGGCAAUGACCCCCAACAGACGUGUGUGGGGGUACCCCCUCCCAGUGCUCUGCCUGCUGGGGUGACGGGCUCUGGGCUGUGUUAUUUUGGACUUUAUUUAAUCUGUUUUUUUGAUAGUUAAUAUAAAAUUGACAACGUGAGGCUUCUAAGCAGCAAUAAUUGCUUUGUCUUUCACAAAGACGCAACCCACUGCCCUCUGUAUUUAGGUUUCUGGUAGAAGUGUGUGCAGAGCGGAUCUGUCCAUAAUUGUUUGCUUUUCUUCAGAGCCUUUUGAAGUUUAUGUCUCCAAGCCAGUUCCUUAUAUUAAAAAUAAAUUCUUCCAAGCCACCAAUGAAAUGUCAACUGUGAUCACAGUCUGACUCCUCACUUGAAGACUCAUCUCCUAAGCAAUGCGAGGCCACUCUGUGAGUCAGCAUUUGAAAGGACCGUUAUUCCAGAGAGCACGGGUAAACCCCAAAGUUCAGAGCUGCUUUCUGUAAUGGUUUCACUGCAUUUAAAAUUACUUCGCACUGUGCUCAAAGAAAUGCGCAUGGUGGGGCCAAUUUGGCACUGAAGUUGUGAGGUUUCGAGCACCUCAAAUCUUGAAGGAAAUCCUCUAUAUUAAUGUAGGAGUCAGAUUUCUGGUAGGAAAAGUUUUCCCUCCUGUGUAGUAGGGUGGGGUGAGAGGCUGUGUGGGAAGCAUAGACUUUCUGCUGUGUUCUGAUGAAAUAAAGCUUGAGGACUGUAAAGUGUCCGGGCAGGGGCUCUGUCUUUUGUUUAGUGCCCAGCAGAACAGAGUCAGAGCUCAACAGAGCUUUCUGGACACAAGAACUUUGUUAAUUUUUCUUACUUUAUUAAAACACUAUGAAAAUACAAAUGGGCGUUAAAGCUCCAAAUGCAAGGAAAUGCAAGUUUUAAGAUAGUCUGCACCAGCCUGUUUAUGCUUUUUGUACAUAUUAAUUAUAAUAGUCUUUAAUUAUACAAUCUCAUUUUCUUUUGUUGCUCUUCCUGGUGUUUGCUGUGGCACAUACUGAGUAUUUGGGGGUCAUUAAUCACACCCGAGCUAUGAAUAACUCUGAGCAGGACUCCAACCUAUGUGCGCCCAUCUCAGGUCUUCCCAACCUCUCUCUGUGCCCUUUUCCUACCCUCCCAGUGAAUUUCUGCCUUGGUGCUUCACGGCUCCGAGCUCAAAUCAAGCCCCUUUGGCUUGGUGCUGGUGGGGUAUUGGAGAAUCCUCAGGCCCAUUGUGCUCUACCUUGGCAUCGAGGAGCCAGUGGGAGCUGCUGGCUGGAGAGGUGAUCCAAGGGAAAAGUCCUCCUUGCCUGUCCUGUGGCAGACGGUGCUCAGAGCCAGGACAGGAUCAUAUUGCUGCUACCGAAAGUGUUCCAUGGGGAUUAUCUAAGGUUGGGAAGAGUGUGAAAUACACUACAAAUUUUGACAAGUUUCCAGUUGUCUUCCCCCCUUCUCUUGGAAGGCUCAACCCAGUGCCUUCCCGAGGGCUCUCCCUGCCCGCAGUUGGGAAGCCAGCAGUUCAUGGUGUCCCUGCUCCACAUCCCUGUCCAACUGCCCUCCUGUUUGCCACUAUUCCUGCAGCCCCUGCAUGCUGCAGCCUGGUGACGGGGUGGUUGAUCCGCUUGUUUGCGGUAAACUGAGGCGAUGCUGCCCACUCUUAGCCCCCCCCAC
Long non-coding RNA from Cuculus canorus (common cuckoo), 4556 nucleotides. RefSeq lists it as uncharacterized. The record is from RefSeq and is a predicted model, not a curated record. The transcript is spliced from 3 exons. Lineage: Eukaryota; Metazoa; Chordata; Aves; Cuculiformes; Cuculidae.